AUACCCUCAAGUAUAACUUGGUGUUGGGUGAAGUCCCUUUAGGGACCCACCCCUAACUUGUAGGCGGUUAUCGCCCAAUUCCCCCAGCGUAGCAGGCUAACGCACUCGCUUUGGGAUAGGCGAUUUGACUCGCUAAAUAAAAACCUUCUUUCAAAG
Molecule: unclassified non-coding RNA, 156 nt
Filed under: uncultured Ascomycota
Lineage: Eukaryota; Fungi; Ascomycota
Description: sequence contains ITS2
Source: RNAcentral